RNAcentral lists this ribosomal RNA (472 nucleotides) under uncultured bacterium. RNAcentral's name for it is "bacterial SSU rRNA". It matches the Rfam family "Bacterial small subunit ribosomal RNA", at positions 355 to 825 of the family's 1533-position model. The record is from RNAcentral.
UGGGGAAUAUUGGACAAUGGGCGAAAGCCUGAUCCAGCCAUGCCGCGUGUGUGAAGAAGGUCUUCGGAUUGUAAAGCACUUUAAGUUGGGAGGAAGGGCAGUAACUUAAUACGUUGCUGUCUUGACGUUACCGACAGAAUAAGCACCGGCUAACUCUGUGCCAGCAGCCGCGGUAAUACAGAGGGUGCAAGCGUUAAUCGGAAUUACUGGGCGUAAAGCGCGCGUAGGUGGUUUGUUAAGUUGGAUGUGAAAGCCCCGGGCUCAACCUGGGAACUGCAUUCAAAACUGACAAGCUAGAGUAUGGUAGAGGGUAGUGGAAUUUCCUGUGUAGCGGUGAAAUGCGUAGAUAUAGGAAGGAACACCAGUGGCGAAGGCGACCACCUGGACUGAUACUGACACUGAGGUGCGAAAGCGUGGGGAGCAAACAGGAUUAGAUACCCAAGUAGUCCCUGAGCGGGCUGGCAAGGCGCAU